This 497-nucleotide ribosomal RNA is filed under the name uncultured bacterium. RNAcentral's name for it is "partial 16S ribosomal RNA". It matches the Rfam family "Bacterial small subunit ribosomal RNA", at positions 28 to 507 of the family's 1533-position model. The record is from RNAcentral.
GACGAACGCUGGCGGCGUGCCUAAUACAUGCAAGUUGAGCGCUGAAGGUUGGUACUUGUACCAACUGGAUGAGCAGCGAACGGGUGAGUAACGCGUGGGGAAUCUGCCCUUGAGCGGGGGACAACAUUUGGAAACGAAUGCUAAUACCGCAUAAAAACUUUAAACACAAGUUUUAAGUUUGAAAGAUGCAAUUGCAUCACUCAAAGAUGAUCCCGCGUUGUAUUAGCUAGUUGGUGAGGUAAAGGCUCACCAAGGCGAUGAUACAUAGCCGACCUGAGAGGGUGAUCGGCCACAUUGGGACUGAGACACGGCCCAAACUCCUACGGGAGGCAGCAGUAGGGAAUCUUCGGCAAUGGACGAAAGUCUGACCGAGCAACGCCGCGUGAGUGAAGAAGGUUUUUGGAUCGUAAAACUCUGUUGGUAGAGAAGAACGUUGGUGAGAGUGGAAAGCUCAUCAAGUGACGGUAACUACCCAGAAAGGGACGGCUAACUACGUG